UGGCAUUAUUUUUAAAUGUAUGAAAACUCUUCAUUUUAAUUUUUAAGAUCUUUAAUUUUAAUCAAUAGGAAAUUUACUCUCAUUAAAUCACUGAUACAUUUUAGGACAUUUGGCUAUGAAAAGCCAACCUGAAGCUAAGGUCUAACGUUUUAAAGCUGAGAGCUUUUUUGGAUUGUUCGUCCAAAGGCUAAGCAAAAGCAGACAAGGUAACUAACGUUAAAAAUUCCUUGGCUGGGCGCAGUGGCUCACUCCUGUAAUCCCAGCACUUUGGGAGGCUGAUGUGGGCAGAUCACCUGAGGUCAGGAGUUCAAGACCAGGCUGGCCUACAUGGCGAAACCCCGUCUCCACUAAAUAUACAAAAAUUAGCCAGGUUUGGUGGCGCAUGCCUAUAAAUCAGCUACUCAGGAGGCUGCGGCAGGAGAAUCACUUGAACCGGGGAGGUAGAGGUUGCGGUGAGCCGAGAUCACGCUACUGCAUUCCAACAAGGGGGACAGAGCGAAACUCUGUCUCAAAAAAAAUAAUAAAAUUAAAAAUAAAUAAAUAAAUAAACUUGAAAAAAGUUAACCUGAUUGCUUAGUAUAGAUUAAAUGAUGCUAUAACAUUAUCAAUCAUGGUAGAAGACAGGACUUUGAAAAUUCAGACUUAAAUGAUGGUUAUUAUUCUUUAAAAAGAUCAUUCUUAGAUUCUGAUAGCAUGAAACACAUUGGUUUAAAUCUAGCUUUCUUAAUUAAGUCAUACAACUGCUUAUAGGGUUUCUUCCUAGUCAUUCAUUCAUUUGAUAAUUAUUUUCGUAAUGCCUACUGUGUACCAGGUACUGAGUAUAAAACAGUGCACAAAAUACACAAAAAUUUCUGACCUCGUGGAAUUUACGAAGAGAUCUUUAUCCUCUUCAGUCAUCGUGAGACUAUUGAUAGUACAUUGAACAGAUAUAAAAUUUCUUUGCUUAUUGUGAUCACAUUGGAGGUUUAAUUACACCUUUUUUAUGUGGUUUUAUGCUUACACAGGCAAAAAAAGAUGAAGAACACUUUUAAAUAAUUCAGAUUGAAAUAACUGGUAUUGAGGAGAGAAGAGGAUACAGGAGGAAAUGAAUUAUCUGUACAGGUUAUUCUCAUUACCACAGUAACCCAGAGCUUCAAUGUACAGAUUUAUUUUUUCUCUUACCUAAUCUUGUGCUGAUACUAAUGUCAAGACCACUUAAUUGUCCUUCUGCAUAUUCUAUUUAUGUGGAUAUGCCAACAAUUUCUUUUUAUUUAAAAAGAGGAUCUUCCUCCACUAUCCCACUCAGAUCUUAAGCCGUAAUCAAUGUUAAGUGCUGCUGGGUCUUGGGUAGGUCUCUCCCAUGGGAGAAUAGAACCUCUAUUUCAGGUGGCUAGUAAAGGCAAUGUUUAAACACACUAUAAGUAAACACAUUUUUACUUUCCUGCAAACUGCCAUGAUAAGCCUGGUAUUCUACCUUUCACCCAGGUAUAGAAUACUAAGGUUGAAGGAGACUCAUACUAAAAGGUAGAAUAAAGCUGGUUGGGCAGUGAAAUUAGGAAUCUAUAUGAAGAAUUAAAGUAGGUUUAAAAUGCAAAAGAAGAGUUACAGAAAAAAGAAGCCGGCCGGGCGCGGGGGAUCACGCCUGUAAUCCUAGCACUUUGGGAGGUUGAGGCAGGCGGAUCGCCUGAGCUCAGGAGUUUGAGACCAGCCUGGGCAACGUAGCGAAACCCCAUCUCUACUAAAAAUACAAAAAAAAAAAAAAAUUAGCAGGGCGUAGAGGUGCAUGCCUGUAGUCCCAGCUCCUUGGGAGGCUGAGGCAGGAGAGUCUCUUGAACCUGGGAGGCAGAGGUUGCAGUGAGCCGAGAUGGUGCCAUUGCACUCCAGACUGGGUGACACAGCAAGACUGUCUCAAAAAAAAAAAAAAAAAAAGAAAAGAGAAGCCAAAGACAUUCUGAAUGGCAGUCAUCUUUCUCUUUUCAUUUUUACUGCAACAUUUUCAAAUACAGAUACCAUACACAAUUUUUGAGCUCUUUGAAAAAAAGCUGAAUAUAAAUGUUUUAAAUAAAUAAUAUUUAGUAAUUGUGAACACUCUGGUUAUAGUACAUCAAACAUAUUUUAGAUUUUAGUUUUUAAAAACUAAUUUCUGCUUCCAAAUAACCCAGCUCCUGCCUUGCUUAUCUUCAGUUGUAAUUGUAUAAACAUUAUAUCACAAACCUACUAGUUCAAGAUUUCAUCAGAGUUUAUUGAUACAAAAAAUAAUCUUUAAAACUUUCUAAUGCCCAACAUAGUUAAAAACAAACUUUGUUAAGUGGCAAGCAAACACAAGGUUGGUUACAUGUCUUAAGCCUUCCCCAUAAAGUUGAGUGGCUCAUCCAACACAUGUGUUUCUUGUGGUUUGAACACGAUCCUGUGCUUGCCUUCAGCUGUUUUCUUAAUUCAGUCAGUCAGCCACAGAAACAAUUUACUCACAUUGGGAUGAUCCACAGGAAUGCCAAGGAAUCUGGAAGUUCUAUGGCAGAGGAAGUCUUCACUUGGACGAGGAGGAAACUGAAGAUCAGAGAAGAAAUUGCACAAAGCCACUCAGAGCUGUGAUUCACAUCUAAGGUCCAUACAACGCCGAAGCCCAGCUCUUGUCUGCUACACCACGCCACAUUUCAGAGGCCUGCACACUCAUUAGUAAUGCAUUCAGGAAUCUAUUUGGAAAAAAACACAGAAGAUGCAGAGUAACAAGAUGGAGACAUCUGGUGAUAUUGGUAUUACCUUGAUUUCAUGACUUCCUCCAAAGUGUUUCCAAGUCCUUGGAAAUGCAGGUGAUUUACUAUCUCUCACUAGUCAAAGAAAUAGCUUAAAGGAAUUGAAGCAACAAUACAUAAUAAGCAAUUCUCUCUGUGCAUCUCUAUCUGCAAAUUAUUAGUUACUUUUUUUUUUUUGAGACAGAGUCUUGCUCUGUCACCCAGGCUGGAGUGCAGUGGCACGAUCUUGGCUCACUGCAACCUCUGCCUCCCAAGUUCAAGUGAUUCUCAUGUCUUAGCCUCCUGAGACAUGAGGCUGGGAUGACAGGCGCGUGGCACUAUGCCCAGCUAAUUUUUGUAUUUUUAAUAGAGACUGGGUGUCACCAUGUUGGCCAGGCUGUAGUUACUAUUUUUAAAGUAGACAUCUGAAGUUACCUACAAUCACAUAUUUGUUAUUACAUGCCAAUAAAAACAACAACAACAACAAAACAACACUCCUGCCCUUGAAAUUGGUCUUCAUUAUGAUUAUUUUGUAUAUAGGAAAGUUAAGCACUAGAAAGGCCAUGCUGCAUAUCCAUGUAAGCCAGCAGUAAAACUCAGAUUUUCAAGUUGACAUUAUUAAUUUAGUCUAAUGAGGGUUAUUUUGGGAGCCACCCCAAAUUUUAUCUAUUAGCAAAACUGGAGCAAUAAAUGUGUGCCAAAUGAGACUUACAACAGCUUUGAGUAACUGGGUAUACAAGGCAACAAAAAGAAACAUUAAAAGGUGGUUAUAGAUUAUUUUAUGUCUCUAAACAGUAAUUACUACCAAUAUUAUUUUACUAAGUCUUAAGAAAACUGUGAGAACCAGAUUAAUUUAUAUGUUCAUCGAAACAUAUGUAAUUGCUUCGUGAACUUUAUUUUAAAGGUCACUUAGUGUAUUAAAAACUUCUUCCCUGGCUACUAUGGGAAAUCUCAUAAAAUAAAGACCCAGAUUUUCAAAAAAAAUUUGUUUUUUGAGACAGAGUCUUGCUCUUGUCGCCCAGGCUGGAGUGCAAUGGCAUGAUCUCAGCUCACUGCAACCUCUGCCUCCUGGGUUCAAGCGAUUCUCCUGCCUCAGCCUCCUGAGUAGCUGGGAUUACAGGCGCCUGCCACCACACCGGGCUAAUUUUUGUAUUUUUAAAGAGACGAGGUUUUGCCGUGUUGCCCAGGCUGGCCUCAAACACCUGACCUCAUGAUCCGCCCGCCUCGGCCUCCCAAAGUGCUGGGAUUACAGGUGUGAGUCACCGUGCCCAGCCAAAAAAUUUCUUACCUGCUUUCCAAUUUUGCAUGAAUAGUGGUGAAAAUAAUCUAAUUACUAUGUUAAUAAAAAGAAGUAGCUGGACUGCCUGUUUGUCAUUUGUUCACCAAUCAUGUGAACUAUGUGUUGGAAUUAAGUGUUUGAUAGAGAUUUAUUUUAUUUUGUCCUCUCAAAUUAAUUUAGAUUCUAAAUCUAUUAAUUUAGAAAGUGAAGGGCAGAGAACGUUUCCAAGUGCCACGAUCAGGUAAUGUUUAACUUAAAUAAUAAAAAAAUAGAUAAGCAUAAAAGCCAUAGUAAAAUUGAGAUCUUUUUUUUGGAGACAGAGUCUCGCUCUGUUGCCCAGGCUGGAGUGCAGAGGCGCAAUCUCAGCUCACUGCAACCUUCGCCUCCCAGGUUCAAGAGAUUCUCCCACUUCAGCCUCCCAAGUAGCUGGGAUUACAGGUGCCUGCCACCAUGCCCAGCUAAUUUUUGUAUUUUUAGUAGAGACAGGGUUUCACCAUGUUGCCCUGGCUAGUCUGGAAUUCCUGAACUCAGGCAAUCCACCCACCUUGGCCUCCCAAAGUGCUAGGAUUACAGGCAUGAGCCACCAUGCCCGGCCUAAAAUUGAGAUCUUUAAGGACCUUAAGUUCAGAAUAAUGAUGCACAUGAACUAAAUUUAAGAAAGGGACAUCACCUCUUUUGAAAACAAAUAGUACUUAAAAACUAGUACUGAAAGAUGAACAAUUUUAAAAUUUGGAAAUUGAUAUAUGCCCCAUUUGGUUUGGACACGGAUUUUUUUUUUUUUAAAUCAGCUAUAUAGUAAGAUGAUAAAAGAGAAAAUCAAAUAAAUGCUAUAAUUAGGAAGAGAGUAAUUUAGUAUUUAGAGCUGUAUUCCAACUCCGCCACUUAUUAUGUGAGAAACAUUAGGCAAGUUAUUUAAUCUCUUUGUGUCUCAGUUUUCUCACCUCUGUAAAAGAGGAAAAUAUCAUAGGAAUGCUGUGAGACUUAAGUGAGUUAAUACUUUUAGAACAAUGCCUGGCUCCUAGCAAGUGGUCAAUAAAUGUAAACCACCACUAUUAUCAUUACUAUUAUAAAAAUAUAUUUAUUUUAAAUAAACAUCUUUUAGUUCACUUUGUGAAGUCACAGAGUGGAGCACACCCAGUUGCACUGAGCUGUAAACUCUAAGGAAAGGCCAAAGGCUGAAUGGGCCACCUAGACUGAUGAGUCAGACACAGCAGCAGUUCAGGUUUCCAGACUGAUUCAGUCCUUGGCGUCUAUCCCGAGGCUGACAACAAGAAUGCUAAUUAGUGCCAAGGGUGAUGAGUUUUGUAACAUGGGGUGCUCCAUUAGAGAUGCAAAUCAGAUCACUUACAUCUUGUACAGAGCACCAAUAGUAAUCAAGUUCAGAUUCACACCGGUAACAUAGAGGUAAAAUGCUUCAUAUCUAGUUACCAUGUUCCUGAACCAUAUGCUUCUGAAUUCUAUGUUCUCUACUCACCUACUGCCAAGGAGCUAAACAUAGCUAAAGGAUUUAAAUUAUAAUUUGAUCUGACAACCAGGUAUCAAACAAUCCUUCUUUAGCCAAAUAAGUAGAGCAGAGACAAAUAUCAGAGCAGUAUAUCCAGUUUAUGCUAUGUGCUUUGUGAUAGGAAAAUAAUAAUUGAGCGUAUUGAUAUAUCUCUUGUAUUAUCUGAUCUAAAAAGGAUGUCAGCAUAAGCUUGGUAUUCAACAUAGACUAACCAAAUUAUUGUUAAGGUUAAGUGAUUUUGAAUAGAGAAAUCUAGGAAAGUGAGGAAUAUCCUAACCUUUCUAUGAUCGUGAAUUGUCUAAUAGACUACCGUUGAAUGCAUAUAAACACUCUUAUGUAGAAUAAGACAAAGCAGAUUCAGUUCUUCUAAAUAAAUGCUCCUGAGGAUAAUGAUGAUGAACUGGGACAGAUGUCAAAUACAAAGGAACGGUGAUGUUUUAAAUCCUAUUAUAUUCAAAUGCCCAAAUAUUAUUAAUAAUACUGUGCUUGAAUAAUUUUUUUGCCUCACUCUGUCACUCAGGCUGGAGGGCAGUGGCACAAUCUCAGCUCACUGCAACCUCCGCCUCCCAGGUUCAAGUGAUUCUCCUGCCUCAGUCUCCCGAGUAGCUGGGACUACAGGCGGCUGCCACCAUGCCCGGCUAAUUUUUGUAUUUUUAGUAGAGACGGGGCUUCACCAUAUUGGCCAGGCUGGUCUUGAACUCCUGACCUUGUGAUCCUCCUGCCUCAACCUCCCAAAGUCAGAUCUGCUUUAAUACUCAUGUUUCACAUAUGAGAAAACUGACAUACAGAAAGAACAAUUGACUUAAGAGUUACACGGCAAGUCAAUACUGAAGUAUUAAGAGUUAUCAUUUGCCCAGACCAGUGUUUAUCUUAUAAAUCUUCAGGUUUUGGUGAAUCUUGUCCCCAUAAAUAGGAUGACAUGAUUUAGGAAUUAUUAGAAAUAUCGGUUGAUUUGUGUAUAUUAUCUUUUAUCGAUCUCUGAAUCAAAUUCAUACCUAAUAAUGAACUAUCUUAGCAUAAUUCUAUUCUAUUUCAAUUUUGUGAGAAAAAGGCCUAAUAAAAAAUUUAUUUUGAAAUCUGAUCUCCAGAUAACAAUUUUUUUUCCAUUCUGGAUUUUGGUAAAAUAUGCAUAACAUACAAUUUACCAUUUUAACCAUUUUGAAGGUUUCAGUUCUGUGGCAUUGAGUACACUCACAUUGUUGUACAGCCAUUGUCACCACCCACCUCCAGAAUCUUUUUCAUCUCGCAAAAUUAAACCUCUGUAUCCAUUAAACAAUAACCCCCUAUUCCCCUCUUCCCCCAACUGCUGGCAACCACCAUUCUCCUUUCUGUCCCUAGGACUUUGUCUUGCUACUCUUAGUUCCAUAUAACCUAUGCUUAUGAACAUUCAAAAGUGUUUUGUCUUUAAAGAAAACUUAGGGGAAGAUUCUUUAAAUUAUUCACUUCCAAUUAGUCUCUGAAGUAAGACUCUGUAACAGAGCUCUGCCUGGAGGAUCCACAUUAGGCUGGUUCUAGGUACUCAGUUUGUGGAGUUGUAAAUGGCUGGUACUUCAGAUGGGAGGCAGGGAGACCCUGGUCUGCAGUGUGAUUUGUGAUAGGCUCUCCCACCUUGCCACAGUGCACAGGAUGCUUCUGCAAAUUACAGCCAAAAAAGAGUUAGUCAUAUGCAUGCCUUUCAUGCCUUAUAAUUUUUUUUUUUUUUUUUGAGACAGGGACUGACUCUGUCACCCAAGCUGGAGUGUAAUAGAGUGAUCUCUUCUUACUACAGCCUCGACCUCCCAGACUCAAGCAAUCUUCCCACCUCAGCCUCCCGAGUAGCUGGGACCACAGAUAUGUGACUCCACACCCACACCCAGGUAAUUUUUGAAUUUUUUGUAGAGAAGGGGUUUUACCAUGUUGCCAAGGCUGGUCUGGAACUCCUGAGCUCAAGCAAUCCAUCCACCACAGCCUCCCAAACUGCUCCUGACCUCGUGCCUUAUAUCUUCUUCAUUGCUUUUAAAAAGUCUCCCUCUGUAGCCCAGGCUGGAGUGCAAUGGUGAAAUCUUGGCUCACUGCAACCUCCGUCUUCCAGGUUCAAGUGAUUCUCAGGCCUCAAUCUCCCUAGUAGCUGGGAUUACAGCACCCGCCACCAUGCCCAGCUACUUUUUGUAAUUUUAGUGGAGACAGGGAUUCACUAUGUUGGCCAGACUGGUCUCGAACUCCUGACCUCAAGUGAUCUGCCCACCUUGGCCUCCCAAAGUGCUGGGAUGACAGGCCUGAGUCACUGUGUCCAGCCCCCAUGCUUUAUAUUUUACACAGUCACACCCACCUAUUUUUUGUUUUCUUUGAAAAUGCUAAACUUUAAGACCCAGUGACAUUGUUUCAGAGGAGCCUAAUUUACAUAUCACGAAAUAAAUUUUAUUUGUAUUAAAUGCUGCUACCUAUGCCAGAGGUGUUUGAACCACGGUGACUUCCAUCUCGAAUAGGGGCUGGGUAAAAUAAGGCUGAGACCAAGGCUAGAGGCAGUGGCUCACGCUUGUAAUCCCAGCGCUUUGGGAAGCCGAGGUGGAUGGAUCACCUGAGGUCAGGAGUUGAAGACCAGACUGGCCAACAUGGUGAAACCCC
Molecule: long non-coding RNA, 8098 nt
Filed under: Homo sapiens (human)
Lineage: Eukaryota; Metazoa; Chordata; Mammalia; Primates; Hominidae
Description: HSALNT0163818
Source: RNAcentral